AAGAUAAUAACAGAAGAGACUAAUUUGCAGAUAAACAAUAUACAAUUAGAAUUUACAAAUGCUAAUCCCAAUUUAUUUAAAUUUGAAUGACAAGCAUACUAACAAGUUGUCAAACAGAAUUAUAAGCAAAAUAUAUAUGUAUAUAUUUUAAUGGAUUAGCACCGUCAGAUUUAAUCACAAUCAGAUAGGAAUACGCCUUAGUUUGUUGGAACAAAUACCGCAACGAAAAUCUUAUUGUGAUUAAAAUCUAACUAAUUUGUAAUAAAGAUAAAUAAAUCAACUUACAGAUGACGCAAAUAUUCCAAUAAAGAUUUGAUCUUAUUCGGAAGCGUGCGAGGCACUGUCCUAAGGCGUAUUCCCGUCCUUACGUGCAGGAUUAAUCGAAAAUAACACCCUCAAUGUACGACCGGAAUUCCUUCUCCUGCGAGCAUGAUCGUAAAGAAUGUUGACGAAAUUCUCAACACCCAGUGGAUAAAAAAUGGAAUAUUCAAAAAUAAGGAUUAAUCAAUUAUCUAAUAUUUUUUUACCUACUCUGUUUUAUUCUAUCUAAAAAUAGAGGAGGAAAAGAGGAAGGAGAUUUAAUUCCCUUCUUCGUUACGAGAAAAAGGCUUAUCCCGCGCAACGGAAUGAGAUUCCGUUGACGCAAGAAACAGACCAAGAAACUAAACGGGAAAAAUAUCCCGUUAGUUUCUUUCUCAUUAAGAAACAUAAUAAAAUAAUUAAAUAAAAUAAAAUAAAUAAAGUAAUAAAUAAAUAAAAUAAUAAAUAAUAAAUAAUAAAUAAUAAAAUAUCAAAGUUCAAAUAAAAUAAAUUCAAACUCAAAAUUUU
Molecule: long non-coding RNA, 828 nt
Filed under: Ananas comosus (pineapple)
Lineage: Eukaryota; Viridiplantae; Streptophyta; Magnoliopsida; Poales; Bromeliaceae
Description: long non-coding RNA (ACOM_LNC031578)
Source: RNAcentral